AUUAGAUACCCUAUUAUUUUUAUUGUAAAAUGUGAAACUCGAGUAUUAGUAGUUAAGGUCUUGAAACUUAAAGAAUUUGGCGGUAUUAUAGUCUAUUUAGAGGAAUCUGUUAUGUAAUCGAUAGUCCACGUUGAACCUUACUUAUAUUAUUUCUUGUAUACCGCUGUUUGAGAAUAUACUUUUAGGUUAUUUUCUUAAUAUAAUACUAAUUAAAAUUUCAGGUCAAGGUGCAGUAAUAUAUAAGUUGAAUAAUGGAUUACAAUAAAUUUUAUUUAUAUGGAUUAUUAUUGAAAUAUAAUUUGAAGGUGGAUUUAAUUGUAAUUUUUUAAAGAUUGUUAAAAUGAUUAAUAGCUCUAUGAUAUGUACACAUCGCCCGUCGCUCUCGUUAUUAAGAUGAGAUAAGUC
This 405-nucleotide ribosomal RNA is filed under the name Tenodera superstitiosa bokiana. RNAcentral's name for it is "partial 12S ribosomal RNA". Lineage: Eukaryota; Metazoa; Arthropoda; Insecta; Mantodea; Mantidae. The record is from RNAcentral.